AUAAGCGGAGGAAAAGAAACUAACAAGGAUUCCCCUAGUAACUGCGAGUGAAGCGGGAAAAGCUCAAAUUUAAAAUCUGGCGGUCUCUGGCCGUCCGAGUUGUAAUCUAGAGAAGUGUUAUCCGCGCUGGACCGUGUACAAGUCUCCUGGAAUGGAGCGUCAUAGAGGGUGAGAAUCCCGUCUUUGACACGGACUGCCAGGGCUUUGUGAUGCGCUCUCAAAGAGUCGAGUUGUUUGGGAAUGCAGCUCAAAAUGGGUGGUAAAUUCCAUCUAAAGCUAAAUAUUGGCGAGAGACCGAUAGCGAACAAGUACCGUGAGGGAAAGAUGAAAAGAACUUUGGAAAGAGAGUUAAACAGUACGUGAAAUUGCUGAAAGGGAAACGCUUGAAGUCAGUCGCGUUGGCCGGGGAUCAACCUUGCUUUUGCUGGGCGUACUUUCCGGUUGACGGGUCAGCAUCAAUUUUGACCGUUGGAUAAAGUCCAGGGGAAUGUGGCAUCUUCGGAUGUGUUAUAGCCCUUGGUCGCAUACAACGGUUGGGAUUGAGGAACUCAGCACGCCGCAAGGCCGGGUACUUGUACCACGUUCGUGCUUAGGAUGCUGGCAUAAUGGCUUUAAUCGACCCGUCUUGAAACACGGACCAAGGAGUCUAACAUGCCUGCGAGUGUUUGGGUGGAAAACUCGGACGCGUAAUGAAAGUGAAAGUUGAGAUCCCUGUCGUGGGGAGCAUCGACGCCCGGACCAGACCUUUUGUGACGGAUCCGCGGUAGAGCAUGUAUGUUGGGACCCGAAAGAUGGUGAACUAUGCCUGAAUAGGGUGAAGCCAGAGGAAACUCUGGUGGAGGCUCGUAGCGAUUCUGACGUGCAAAUCGAUCGUCAA
Molecule: ribosomal RNA, 877 nt
Filed under: Hebeloma cf. crustuliniforme 1 UE-2011
Lineage: Eukaryota; Fungi; Basidiomycota; Agaricomycetes; Agaricales; Hymenogastraceae
Description: LSU rRNA
Rfam family: Eukaryotic large subunit ribosomal RNA
Source: RNAcentral